RNAcentral lists this ribosomal RNA (256 nucleotides) under uncultured archaeon. RNAcentral describes it as "partial 16S ribosomal RNA". It matches the Rfam family "Bacterial small subunit ribosomal RNA", at positions 521 to 776 of the family's 1533-position model. The record is from RNAcentral.
UAAUACGGAGGGUGCAAGCGUUAAUCGGAAUUACUGGGCGUAAAGCGUGCGUAGGCGGUUUUUUAAGUCAGAUGUGAAAGCCCUGGGCUUAACCUGGGAACUGCAUUUGAAACUGGAAGACUAGAGUUUAGUAGAGGGGAGUGGAAUUUCAGGUGUAGCGGUGAAAUGCGUAGAGAUCUGAAGGAACACCAGUGGCGAAGGCGACUCCCUGGACUAAAACUGACGCUGAGGUACGAAAGCGUGGGUAGCAAACAGG